Molecule: ribosomal RNA, 199 nt
Filed under: uncultured bacterium
Lineage: Bacteria
Description: partial 16S ribosomal RNA
Rfam family: Bacterial small subunit ribosomal RNA
Source: RNAcentral
CGGAUCGGAGUCUGNAACCCGACUCCGUGAAGCUGGAUUCGCUAGUAAUCGCGCAUCAGCCAUGGCGCGGUGAAUACGUUCCCGGGCCUUGUACACACCGCCCGUCAAGCCAUGGGAGCCGGGGGUGCUUGAAGUGCGUCGCCGCAAGGCGCGCCCUAGAGCAAAACCGGUGACUGGGGCUAAGUCGUAACAAGGUAUC